Molecule: long non-coding RNA, 5243 nt
Filed under: Nicotiana tabacum (common tobacco)
Lineage: Eukaryota; Viridiplantae; Streptophyta; Magnoliopsida; Solanales; Solanaceae
Description: long non-coding RNA (NTAB_LNC009095)
Source: RNAcentral
UAGAGAAGAGACCCUCAUUCCAGCCGCCACCCACCCUAACCAACCCAAAAGACCCUUCGAGACCACUAGGCUUCAGCACCGAUCAUCUCUUCACCACAGCCGCCCACCCCAGAAAAAGAACUCCCCAGCGCCGCUGCCUUCCUUCUCCAACCACCUGCGGCCACCCUUUUCUCUAACCUUCAGCCGCAAAAACCCUCGCCUUCUUUCACCAAAACACACAUACGUACAAUAGCGAAAAACAUAUUAGUACAUAUAGAAUAGGUAGAAUUCAUUUAGUCUUACACUUUGUAUUCUAAAGAAUCCUUGUUUACAUAACCUUGUACUCUAGAUAGAGUCCUUCUUGACUUGAUACAUUGUACUCUAUAUAUAAUAGAGAAGCUCUCACGUUGAGAGCAUCUUGGGCAAAAUACUAUUUCUCACAUGGUCUCAGAUAGCCAUUAUUAGCCAAACCUAUUUCACACAAGUUCUUCUCAAUCAAAUAUGGUGACAUCCACCAGGGAAACAUCUUCAGCGCCUGUUUCUUCUCCGACAGAUCCUAUUAUUCCUUCUAAUUUAUCUGCACCUUCAACCACGGGAGCUUUCAUAAUUCCUCCUCUCUCUCAAACACUUCCACCAUUCUCCCUUCCUCCUAUCUCUUAUUCAAUUUCCUCGAUGCCAACCUCUCUCCCUGGUCAAUAUUCCUCUCUAAACACUUUACCUGGUUCAUUAGUUAGUAGUGUUGGUCUACCCUUUCAAUUGCCAUUUACUGGUUCUUUGGACCCAACAUCUCUCUCACAGUUCAAUUUUGUCGCCGCUCUUGCUGCACCAAACGUCACAAAUCUGGUAACUAUCAAGCUUGCCUCUGUUGAAGACUACCUCACAUGGCGUACUCAAUUUCAAUCUCCCCUGCUCUCACGUGAACUUCUUGGAUUUGUUGAUGGCUCAAUUCCUCUACCACAUCUUUUUAUCUGUGAUGGAUCUGGAACUCAACAACCUAAUCCUCUUUAUAGAUCAUGGGUUAAAGUUGAUCAAAAUGUUCGUUCUUGGCUGUUUGCGACGCUUUCUCGAGAAGUUCUCAUGGAUGUUCAUUUACUGCCUACUUCACAUGAUAUAUGGAAUUCUCUACAACGUUGCUACAUAGAUGCCAGUCAAGCAAAAUCUGUUGAACUAAAGAGACAACUCACUACUAUGCGCAAAAAUGGCUCUAUGUCAAUUGAUCAGUAUCUUCGCGAGGCCAAGCAGAUUGCUGACUCUCUUGCAGCAAUAAAUUCUCCUGUCUCUUCUUAAGAUUUUAUUGAUCAUGUGCUUCUUGGAUUGGGCAAGGAAUAUGACACUUUGGUUGGGAUUAUUACACACUAUCCUGGUUCAUUGUCGCUUGAAGAACUCAGAACGAAACUUCUACUCCAUGAAGAACGGUUGAAGCGUUUCAAGGAUAUAGAUACAGUUGUCACUCAUCAAGCAUUUGCUGCUCAAAAUGUGACUCAAAUCACUCAAAUGUCUCGGGUAUUCACUUUGCUUCUCUAGGAGGUCGUGGCAGGGGUCGUUCUUUCACAUCUAGGGGUCGAGGCCGUGGUGGUAGAGGUCGAGGCUCCUUUAGUCGGGUUCAACAACAUCAGGCAUCUUCUGGAUACACUUUUACUCGCAGUGGUUUCCCUGGACAAUCAUCGUCAGGUAUUGGUAGCGCUCCAACUGCCCCUUAUAUUUCGCCAUCUGUUAGUGCACCUUCAUCUUCCAUUGGAGUUUUAGGUCCUCCACCUUCUCCAACUGUUUGUCAAAUUUGUGGAAAUCCUGGUCAUUCUGCUCUUCAGUGUAAUAAUCAUUUUAACCAUGCAUUUGUUGCUAACGAUCUGCCUAAGUCUUUCGCUGCUAUGUCGGUUGGUGAAACAAAUUAUGCUACUUGGUAUUUAGACUCAGCUGCUACCGCUCACAUGACUCCAUCUGAAGGUAAUUUUAUGCAUAAAUCUGCUUACAAUGGUUCUGAUCAUGUCUUGGUUGGGAAUGGAUCUUUGCUUAAAAUUGAAAAUAUUGGCUACGCUCAGUUACCCACUCCAUCUCGUCCCCUACAUUUGAAAUCCAUAUUUCAUGUUCCCCAUCUCCGCCAUAAUUUACUUUCUGUCAAGCGAUUAUGUAAAGAUAAUAAUUGUGCUGUUAAUUUUGACUCAUCUUCUGUUAUUGUUAAGGACAAAGCCUCGGGUCAAACUCUCCUUCAAGCUUCCAGUGAGGGUGAUGUAUAUCCUUUAUCUCCUUGGUCCAGGUCUUCUUCUCCUCAAGCUUAUGUUGUUUUUUGUCAGUCUGGUGAUACAUGGCAUCGUCCCUUGGGACACAGUGGUGCUCGUGUUUUAGCUACUCUUAAAAACAAUAAUGCUAUUAGUUUGUCAAAUUCGUUUACUAAUAAAUGUGUCUCUUGUCGUCUAGGAAAGUCUCAUUGUUUAUCAUUCAAUCAAGUAGAACAUUGUAGUUCUUUUCCUUUGGAUAUUAUUCACUCAGAUGUUUGGCAAUCACCCAUUUAUCCAAUUUGGGCUUUCAAUAUUAUGUUAUUUUUGUUGAUGAUUUUUCUCGAUUUACAUGGCUUUAUCCAAUGAAAAAUAAAUCAGAAGUUUUUACUCAUUUUUGUGCCUUUCAAAAGCUGGUAGAAAAUUUAUUUAACACUAAGAUAAAAUAUUUUCAAAGUGAUGGAGGAGGCGAGUUUGACAAUAAGGCCAUGCUUUCACAUUUUACUAAUUCUGGCAUUUCUUUUCGUAAGUCGUGUCCGGACACUCCUCAACAAAAUGGGGUUGUUGAACGGAAACAUCGACACAUUAUUGAAAUGGUACGCACAAUUAUAACAGAUGUUACUCUCCCGUUUCAAUUUUGGGUUGAUGCAGCCUUUUAUGCUGUUUUUACUAUUAACGGGUUACCUACGCCUAUUUUACAUGGACUUUCUCCCUUUGAGAAACUUUUUCAUAGAAUUCCAUAUCACAACUUUCUCCGAGUUUUUGGUUGUGAAUGCUUUUCCAAUUUGUCUGCUCGAGUUUCUCAUAAGUUUACACCUCGUUCAGUUAGAUGUGUCUUCCUUGGCUAUGCAUCUGAUUAUAAGGGAUAUCGUUGUUUAGAUCCAAAAUCUGGUCGUGUAUAUGUUAGUAGACAUGUUAUAUUUCAUGAACUAAUUUUUCCAUAUUCUGAGUUGUCUAGUUCUCCUACUGUUGCCUCCCCUUCAUCCUCUAAUUCUGAUCCUCUUGUUGUCAUGUCGCCUCUAAAUCGUAGGAUUCCACCACCUCAACUUGAAUCUUCUGUGUCUACCGAUGUUCCAUCAUUACAUAACACUUCUCAUGUAUCUCAACCUUUAUCCUCUAGAACUAUAGAUUCCACAAGUUGUCAGAUCUCUCCUGUAGAGCCUAUUUCACCUGUACCUAGCCUUAGCGAGUCAUUACAUGCAGGUUCUUCACCAUCUUUGUCUACCUCAUUACCUAUUACUAAUUCCUCAACUUCGCCAUCUACCCCUUCCCAGCAUCCAAUGCAAACUCGAUCUAAGUCUGGUAUUUCUAAGCCAAAGAAACAAUUUUCUUUGAGUGCUAAUAUCCAUGAACAGGAACCUUCUUGCUUUUCUCAAGCUGUGAAAAAUUCAAAGUGGCAACAAGCAAUAGCAGAUGAAUUCAAUGCCCUUUUAGAGAAUAAUACUUGGAUCCUUGUUCCUUUUACCCCUAGCAUGAACUUAGUCGGUUGCAAAAGGGUAUAUCGCAUAAAAUAUAAUUCAGAUGGGUCCAUUGAGCGAUACAAGGCUCACCUUGUAGCACAAGGUUUUCAUCAAAAGACAGGCAUCGAUUAUCAUAAGACAUUUAGCCCUGUUGUUCGUUCGACAACUGCGAGAAUUGUUCUUUCCCUUGCUGUCUCUACAUGAAGCAACCUCCAGGUUUUAUUCAUCCAGACUAUCCUAAUCAUGUUUGCAAGCUAACCAAAGCCAUCUAUGGCUUGAAACAAGCUCCACGAGCUUGGUUUCAUCACUUCAGUGCAUUUCUUAUUUCUCAUGGUUUUGCUUGUAGCAAAUCUGAUAGUUCGAUGUUUAUUUAUCGCUCUUCUUCUCAUAUCCUUAUUCUAUUACUCUAUGUUGAUGAUAUCUUUCUCACAGGUAGUCAUAAUGGUCUUCUUGAUCAAUUUAUUUCUCGUCUAUCCCAUUAGUUUGCUAUGAAGGACUUAGGCAAUCUCUAUUAUUUUCUUGGUAUUCAAGCAGUUCGUACAUCUCACGGUCUUCACUUGUCUUAGCAAAAGUACAUUUCUGAUUUGUUACUUAAAUUUCAUAUGCACACAUGCAAACCAGUUCGUACUCCCAUUGCUUCUCGCACUUCUAUUUCUCUAAUGGACGGUGAGUUACUUUCAGAUCCUAGUGAAUAUAGGAGCAUGGUUGGUGCUCUUCAAUAUUUGACUAUGACUCAUCCGGAUAUUGCCUAUGCUGUAAAUGUUGUCUCUCAAUUUAUGCAUGCUCCCCGUACCACUCACAUGCAUUGUGUCAAGCGUACUUUCAGGUACUUGCAGGGUACUCUGACUUAUGGUCUAACUUUGCGUGCCCUAUCUCCGACUUUCAUGGUUAUUGCCUACUCGGAUGCUGAUUGGGCUGGUUGUCCAGAUAGUCGCCGUUCUACUUCAGGUUUUGCUAUGUUUCUAGGAUCUAAUCUUAUCUCUUGGCGUGCAAAGAAGCAGCCAACAGUUUCAAAAUCGUCUACAGAGGUCGAGUAUCGGGCUAUUGCAUACACUGUUGCUGAGACUUGUUGGAUUCGUCACAUUCUUUGUGAGCUUGGUAUCUUUCUUCAUGAACCAAUUCAUGUAUUAUGUGACAACAUCAAUUCAACUUACAUGACCCGUAAUCCAGUUUUCAUGAUCGCUCGAAACAUAUUGCUGUUGAUUUUCAUUUUGUGCGUGAUAAGGUUGCACAAGGAGAUCUUAUAGUUCAAUAUGUUCCAACACAUUUGCAGUUAGCAGAUAUCUGUACGAAGGGCUUGCCUUCAUCUCAAGUUUGUUUUCUUCGGGACAAUCUGUCUGUUACUCCCACCAGUACAGAUUGAGGGGGUGUAUUAGUACAUAUAGAAUAGGUAGAAUUCAUUUAGUCUUACACUUUGUAUUCUAAAGAGUCCUUGUUUACAUAACCUUAUAUUCUAGAUAGAGUCCUUCUUGACUUAAUACAUUGUAGAUUGUACUCUAUAUAUAAUAGACAAGCUCUCACGAUUGAGAGCAUCUUGGGCAGAAUACUAUUUCUCACAAAACAGAGGUAGGGAACGAAAAAAAGAAACGGG